CAUUCGGUUGGGAAGACACCUUC
This 23-nucleotide small nuclear RNA is filed under the name Arabidopsis thaliana (thale cress). RNAcentral's name for it is "snRNA_13772". Lineage: Eukaryota; Viridiplantae; Streptophyta; Magnoliopsida; Brassicales; Brassicaceae. The record is from RNAcentral.